GACGAACGCUGGCGGCGUGCUUAACACAUGCAAGUCGAACGGAAAGGCCCUGCUUGCAGGGUACUCGAGUGGCGAACGGGUGAGUAACACGUGGGUGAUCUGCCCUGCACUUCGGGAUAAGCCUGGGAAACUGGGUCUAAUACCGGAUAGGAGCCAUUUUUAGUGUGAUGGUUGGAAAGUUUUUUCGGUGUAGGAUGAGCUCGCGGCCUAUCAGCUUGUUGGUGGGGUAAUGGCCUACCAAGGCGGCGACGGGUAGCCGGCCUGAGAGGGUGGACGGCCACAUUGGGACUGAGAGACGGCCCAGACACCUACGGGAGGCAGAAGUGGGGAAUAUUGCACAAUGGGCGCAAGACUGAUGCAGAGACGCCGCGUGGGGGAUGACGGCCUUCGGGUUGUAAAAUCCUUUCGCUAGGGACGAAGCUUUUUGUGACGGUACCUAGAUAAGAAGCACCGGCUAACUACGUG
Molecule: ribosomal RNA, 465 nt
Filed under: uncultured bacterium
Lineage: Bacteria
Description: partial 16S ribosomal RNA
Rfam family: Bacterial small subunit ribosomal RNA
Source: RNAcentral